CAGCUCUCCGAGUGGUAGGGACGAUUAUUGGGCUUAAAGCGUCCGUAGCCGGCUUAGCAAGUUUCCUGUUAAACCCAGCGACUCAAUCGUUGGAUCGCGGGAAAUACUACUAGGCUAGGAGGCGGGAGAGGUCAACGGUACUUCUGGGGUAGGGGUGAAAUCCUAUAAUCCCGGGAGGACCACCAGUGGCGAAGGCUGUUGACUAGAACGCGCUCGACGGUGAGGGACGAAAGCUGGGGGAGCGAACCGGAUUAGAUACCCGAGUAGUCC
Molecule: ribosomal RNA, 270 nt
Filed under: uncultured archaeon
Lineage: Archaea
Description: partial 16S ribosomal RNA
Rfam family: Archaeal small subunit ribosomal RNA
Source: RNAcentral